GCCCAGGUGGCGCAACUGGCAGCGCGGCUGAUUUGUAAUCAGCAGGUUAGGGGUUCGAGUCCCCUCCUGGGCU
This 73-nucleotide transfer RNA is filed under the name Chloroflexota bacterium. RNAcentral's name for it is "Chloroflexi bacterium tRNA-Thr". It matches the Rfam family "tRNA". Rfam says of the family: Transfer RNA (tRNA) molecules are approximately 80 nucleotides in length. Their secondary structure includes four short double-helical elements and three loops (D, anti-codon, and T loops). The record is from RNAcentral. Lineage: Bacteria; Bacillati; Chloroflexota. RNAcentral also lists the same sequence under 2 other names.